Molecule: non-coding RNA, 28 nt
Filed under: Homo sapiens (human)
Lineage: Eukaryota; Metazoa; Chordata; Mammalia; Primates; Hominidae
Source: RNAcentral
UGAGAUAUCUGGAAUGUCCAAAAUGGUC